GACGAACGCUGGCGGCGUGCUUAACACAUGCAAGUCGAACGGAAAGGCCUCUUUCGGGGGGUACUCGAGUGGCGAACGGGUGAGUAACACGUGAGUAACCUGCCCUUGACUUUUGGAUAACUUCAGGAAACUGGGGCUAAUACCGGAUAGGAGCUCCUGCUGCAUGGUGGGGGUUGGAAAGUUUCGGCGGUUGGGGAUGGACUCGCGGCUUAUCAGCUUGUUGGUGGGGUAGUGGCUUACCAAGGCUUUGACGGGUAGCCGGCCUGAGAGGGUGACCGGCCACAUUGGGACUGAGAUACGGCCCAGACUCCUACGGGAGGCAGCAGUGGGGAAUAUUGCACAAUGGGUGGAAGCCUGAUGCAGCAACGCCGUGUGCGGGAUGACGGCCUUCGGGUUGUAAACCGCUUUCGCUCAUGACGAAGCUUUGUGUGACGGUAGUGGGUAAAGAAGCACCGGCUAACUACGU
RNAcentral lists this ribosomal RNA (466 nucleotides) under uncultured bacterium. Its description in RNAcentral is "partial 16S ribosomal RNA". It matches the Rfam family "Bacterial small subunit ribosomal RNA", at positions 28 to 506 of the family's 1533-position model. The record is from RNAcentral.